This 300-nucleotide long non-coding RNA is filed under the name Pan troglodytes (chimpanzee). RNAcentral's name for it is "long non-coding RNA NONPTRT009194". The record is from RNAcentral. Lineage: Eukaryota; Metazoa; Chordata; Mammalia; Primates; Hominidae.
AAUGGCAGGGAGAUCUUGCAGAGCCUGGACUUCAGCGUGGACGAGAAGGUGAACCUUCUGGAGCUGACCUGGGCCCUUGACAACGAGCUCAUGACAGUGGACAGUGCCGUCCAGCAGGCAGCCCUGGCCUGCUACCACCAGGAGCUGAGCUACCAGCAAGGGCAGGUGGAGCAGCUGGCAAGGGAGCGUGACAAGGCGAGGCAGGACCUGGAGAGGGCCGAGAAGAGGAACCUGGAGUUUGUGAAAGAGAUGGAUGACUGCCACUCCACCCUGGAGCAGCUCACGGAGAAGAAAAUCAAG